Molecule: long non-coding RNA, 1874 nt
Organism: Formica exsecta
Lineage: Eukaryota; Metazoa; Arthropoda; Insecta; Hymenoptera; Formicidae
Exons: 2
Source: RefSeq, a predicted model, not a curated record
CCCUAGAGGCGGAAACAUGAAAAAUUUUGCUGCCAUUUAUUUAUUCCUAGAGGAAAGUUACUGAACGCAAGAAGUGCAACUAAAACACAGUUGGUAGAUGUGAUAUAUCUCUUCGAUACUAUCGAAAAGCGAUAUUGCGAUUCUCGAAUUUUGAAUCGCGAGAAUCACAAAGUACAUCGUGACCGAUCGUGGAGUUGCAUUCAUACGUUGCUGCAUAUUUUUCGUAAUUAUUUUUGUCUAAAAAAGUGAAUUUUGUACACGAAAAGUUAUCGUGAGUGUUUCGUAAAGUGUUUAUCGUAACGUGAACAUUGUGUACAAUCACUAUUAUUCGACAAUAUCGUUAUUUCGACAUCAGUGAUCCGCCUCUGUGCGCUGGAAUCAACGGACUUUCCUUUUCCCACAUAUCACGUCGUUAUUUUCUGAUUUUCUCGCCGGAAUAAUAUAGUGGAAUCGCAAUUGACGUAUAGUCAUCAUCAAUAUUUUUUUCAUUGGAUCAUUCAAUAAACUUGGCAUUUGGAUCUUCUGGAUAUUUCAUCGCUUCCAGUCUUCCACCACUGGGUGAGUAAAAAAAUUAGAUGCAUCAUAAAAUAAAGAUGAGAUUAGAUUGGCAAAGACAUUUCAUAUUCAACGAGAAUUAAAAAAGAUAACUAAAAAUUAAAAAUUAUUUUUUUAAAAUUAUUUAAUUCAGUAUUAUCGAAUUUCUUUUAAUUGCAAUACACAAAUGUUUUUGCCAAAAUAAUUUUCAUAUAAUCUCCGAUUUAUGCAAAAUGUUGCGCAACAAAUUUUAAUUAAAAAAUAACGAAGUUUUUUUUCUAAAGAAAAGCUCUUUAUUUCGUUCACGUUCAAUUGUUUAUAAUUUAAAAAUUAUGGAUUUGUCGAUAUUUUUGUUCAAAAUUGUUUUUAAUUGAACAAUAAAAGUUAGAAAUAAUAACUCAUAAAGUUCGAGAAAUUCUAUGACUCGUAAAAUUGAUCGAUAUUAUUUACUGUAAUACGCGCAUUAAUGUUUAUUUCGAUGUAAUAUUUCACGUUCAUCAGGAUUGAUUUCGGUCCAUGUCCUUUAUCGGAAACUUCAUUCGUGGAAGACGGUAGCGCGGUAACGACUUUAUUAGGGUUAUCGACGUGCGCACGUGCCUCACCCUCUGACAUUUUAACUCUUGACAUGUUCGUUAUGGAAAGUGGGCCGCGCCAGCGACGGACGCGGCGCAGUUAAUUGCUAAUUAUCUUACGGUUUUAAUCAAUCAGUCCGAACGACACAUUGUGCAGUCACAUGGCAGAUGUUGCGCAACUGGUAUAGUCCUUUUGCCGUAAUCAAGUCCAGAUCGUUCGUAUAAUUGGUCGGUUACGUGAUCCCAUAAAUACACGCCCGCGUCGAUUACUCUCGUCGCACACUUGUUACAGUAUUACGUGAACUUCAUUAUUCCGCGUUCGUUGUAAUUCAGCGGAUACGAGGGUGGAAUCUGUGCGCAUGAGAUCGGUGCGAGAAAGCAGUUCUCGUUGUUGUAGGCGUCGCGCGUCUCUCUUUCUCUCUCUCUCGGCGACGAAAUUGCAACCUGACGUCCUGGAAGAUAUAUUUCACGCCUUGUUGCGAGUAAGUGGCUUCUUCCACGCAGGAUUAAUGCCGUAAGGCGGGCUACGUUAUGCAUAGCGCAUAAUACUCGCUCUGCUAAUUUAUUUUUCACAAAAUAUUACUAGAGACGCGCGCGCAUAAAGUAGAACAUAUUAUUAUUAAGAGAAAACAAACAUGUACAAGAGGGAUGUUGCAAAUAAGUUGUAUAAAAACAUUUCUAAUUAUUAGAUGUUUUUAAAUGCUUUUGACGUUGUUUAAAUUUUGCUUUCCGUGCGUAUAUUAUGCGUAAAAUACAAAAAAAAAAAAA